AGUGAACGCUGGCGGCAGGCCUAAUACAUGCAAGUCGAACGGCAACACCGUGGAGCUUGCUCCAUGUGUGGCGAGUAGCGGACGGGUGAGGAAUACAUGGGAAUCUGCCCAGUCGUGGGGGAUAACGUAGGGCAACUUACGCUAAUACCUCAUGCGCCCUUCGGGGGAAAGCCGGGGACCUUCGUUCCUGGCGCGGGUGGGUGAGCCCGUGUUCGAUUAGCUAGUUGGCGGGGUAAAGGCCCACCAAGGCGACGAUCGAUAGCUGGUCGGAGAGGAUGAUCGGCGACAUGGGGAGGGGAACAGGGACAAGACGCCUAAGGGAGGUAGCAGUAGGGAAUAGUGGGCAGUGGGCGGAAGCAUGAUCCAGCCAUGCCAAGUGAGUGAAAGAGGCGCCCGGGUUGUAAAGAUCUUUUGUCCGGGAAGAAAAGCAUCGGGCUAAUACCUAGGGGGAGUGACGGUAACGGAUAAAGAAGCACCGGCUAACUUCGUG
This 490-nucleotide ribosomal RNA is filed under the name uncultured bacterium. Its description in RNAcentral is "partial 16S ribosomal RNA". It matches the Rfam family "Bacterial small subunit ribosomal RNA", at positions 30 to 507 of the family's 1533-position model. The record is from RNAcentral.